GCAGGUACAGCUCAGUGGCAGAGCACGUGCUUAGCACGCACAAGCUCCUGGGUUCAACUCCUAGAACCUCCA
RNAcentral lists this transfer RNA (72 nucleotides) under Camelus bactrianus (Bactrian camel). It matches the Rfam family "tRNA". From Rfam's summary of the family: Transfer RNA (tRNA) molecules are approximately 80 nucleotides in length. Their secondary structure includes four short double-helical elements and three loops (D, anti-codon, and T loops). Lineage: Eukaryota; Metazoa; Chordata; Mammalia; Artiodactyla; Camelidae. The record is from Rfam by way of RNAcentral. RNAcentral also lists the same sequence under 2 other names.